GCGCCAAUAGGGAAGUGGUUAUCCCAUCGGUUUCCGGAGCCGGGAGUCGCGAGUUCGAAUCUCGCUUGGCGUU
Xylariales sp. AK1849 is the source of this 73-nucleotide non-coding RNA. NCBI's taxonomy places the organism in Eukaryota, Fungi, Ascomycota, Sordariomycetes, Xylariales. The record is from the annotation of a GenBank genome assembly.